CAGUAUAUAGAUAGAAGACAUAUUACAACGUUAAUUAGAAUGCGUACAGGCCAUUGCUUAAAAAAAAAACCAUUUAUAUAAAAUUAAAGUGAAGGAAGAUCCAUUCUUUUCCGAAUGCAGUCUGUUUGUGUGACCUCUAUCCUAUGUGCCUUUGUGUGUGAUAUAAUCUUCCUUUCAGCGCGUCAUUUAUAUAUUUAAUAAAUAAUAAUAAUAACAUUUUACAGUCACAGGUCACAGGUUACCUUCAUAGAAGUUAGUUAUAUUAAAAUUUACCCAUUAUACAUUUUACUCAGAUAAGAAUCAGUGGCCUUGAUAUGGUUUAGAGCCAGUCAACAUCUUGGUCACUCCCAAAUUGAGCUGGCGGUUGCCUUGUAGCAGAGCCAUCAUAAAAAAA
This 394-nucleotide long non-coding RNA is filed under the name Sitophilus oryzae (rice weevil). RNAcentral's name for it is "uncharacterized LOC115885969". The record is from RNAcentral. Lineage: Eukaryota; Metazoa; Arthropoda; Insecta; Coleoptera; Curculionidae.